RNAcentral lists this non-coding RNA (27 nucleotides) under Homo sapiens (human). Lineage: Eukaryota; Metazoa; Chordata; Mammalia; Primates; Hominidae. The record is from RNAcentral.
UGCCGACACCCCAAGUCGAGGGUAAGC